UGGCGGGUCGUCCAACGGUAGGACAACGGACUCUGGAUCCGUUUAUUGGGGUUCGAAUCCCUGCCCGCCAGCCA
RNAcentral lists this transfer RNA (74 nucleotides) under Candidatus Aegiribacteria sp. MLS_C. RNAcentral's name for it is "Candidatus Aegiribacteria bacterium MLS_C tRNA-Gln". It matches the Rfam family "tRNA". Rfam says of the family: Transfer RNA (tRNA) molecules are approximately 80 nucleotides in length. Their secondary structure includes four short double-helical elements and three loops (D, anti-codon, and T loops). The record is from RNAcentral. Lineage: Bacteria; Pseudomonadati.